Molecule: ribosomal RNA, 497 nt
Filed under: uncultured bacterium
Lineage: Bacteria
Description: partial 16S ribosomal RNA
Rfam family: Bacterial small subunit ribosomal RNA
Source: RNAcentral
GAUGAACGCUGGCGGCGUGCCUAAUACAUGCAAGUCGAGCGAACAGACGAGGAGCUUGCUCCUCUGACGUUAGCGGCGGACGGGUGAGUAACACGUGGAUAACCUACCUAUAAGACUGGGAUAACUUCGGGAAACCGGAGCUAAUACCGGAUAAUAUAUUGAACCGCAUGGUUCAAUAGUGAAAGACGGUUUUGCUGUCACUUAUAGAUGGAUCCGCGCCGCAUUAGCUAGUUGGUAAGGUAACGGCUUACCAAGGCAACGAUGCGUAGCCGACCUGAGAGAGUGAUCGGCCACACUGGAACUGAGACACGGUCCAGACUCCUACGGGAGGCAGCAGUAGGGAAUCUUCCGCAAUGGGCGAAAGCCUGACGGAGCAACGCCGCGUGAGUGAUGAAGGUCUUCGGACCGUAAAACUCUGUUAUUAGGGAAGAACAAAUGUGUAAGUAACUAUGCACGUCUUGACGGUACCUAAUCAGAAAGCCACGGCUAACUACGUG